This 213-nucleotide ribosomal RNA is filed under the name Mytilus galloprovincialis (Mediterranean mussel). RNAcentral describes it as "partial 16S ribosomal RNA". The stretch from base 1 to 94 matches the Rfam family "Bacterial large subunit ribosomal RNA", at positions 2553 to 2646 of the family's 2925-position model. The record is from RNAcentral. Lineage: Eukaryota; Metazoa; Mollusca; Bivalvia; Mytilida; Mytilidae.
GCGUAGAAGCUUCUGAUGGUGGGUCUGUUCGCCCUUUAAAAUCUAACAUGAGCUGAGUUCAGAACGGCGUGAGCUAGUUCAGUUUCUAUCCUCUUUUUGAAAUGAGCUAAUUUUGUACGAAAGGACUUUUUCGCUAAAGCAAUGCUUUGUCACAAAUCUGUGGUUGCAUAAAUAAUAGGGUAUAAUAGGUUGAUUAGCCUGUAGGAAGGGUUA